Long non-coding RNA from Oncorhynchus gorbuscha (pink salmon), 1003 nucleotides. RefSeq lists it as uncharacterized. Lineage: Eukaryota; Metazoa; Chordata; Actinopteri; Salmoniformes; Salmonidae. The record is from RefSeq and is a predicted model, not a curated record. The transcript is spliced from 3 exons.
ACAUGAACAUCUCAUCCUUAUAUACAGGUCUCUGUUUGCAGUCAAAUUUCUUUACGCGAAAGAGAGCAUGAUGCUCGUGAUUUUGCACAUCCCAUGUGAUGUAACUGGUAACAAUGACUAGCACGCGGUAAAUGGUUGCGUGAGAGGGUCGCUUGCGCGUGCUGGCAGCAUAUGGCAGCAGUUCGAUUGUGCGUCAAGAAUUCAGCAUAGCAAGUUUUUGUGAAUGUCUGGUUAUUAAAUAGGUAAAUAGUUUAAUCCAUUUCAUGAAUUUAUUCACAGGUAACGCUCUCGUGACAAACACACUUUGUUGCCCUGUUUCCAAUCGUCCACAUGUCUGGGAGAACGUAUUAAUAUACAGAGAGCUGUGAAAGCCUGUCUGCAGAUGAAGAGGUCCCAAUGAAGAGCAGUGGUUCUCAGUCCUGGUCCUGGGGACUGGACCUGUUUUUGCCUUAGCUCUGAUUCAAAUGAUCAAGUCAUCAUCAAGCUUCAAGUGAGAUACCUUGUAACUGGAGAUUCCUUCAAAAUGAUUGCCUACAGUUACCGUGUAGGGCACUGCAAGGUUGGGUGACCAGGGCCAUCUGGGACUGCCUCCUGGAGGAAUUCAGGCGUUUGAAGGCUACCUGUGUCGUGCAUAACUUUAUGAGGAUGGACACGAGGACCAGGAGGGGGAUCUGCAGCUCGCCACCGUGUGCCAGAGGAGAGGUCUGCUGCUCUACAGUAUGUUUCAAUGAUUGGGGCCAACAACGCAGCAUGGGAGGAAAUCCGUGUGCGGGAUAUCUUCACCUCCUACUUCUUCAGAGGGUGCUGUUCCCUGGCAAAACCAUAGACUACAAUGCACAACCAAAGGCUAUUUUAAGAGCCAUCCACAUUGCAAUAAGAGUAUUCUUCCAUUUACUUAGCUAUGUCAACUGCAGUUUUUAAAUUCCCAGUUUCUCUCCUUUUGAUUUCUGCUUCUCAGGUGAGGGUGCUGUUCAGGUAAGGGUGAUGUCUGCACAAAACCAAA